CUUCCUUCACGACCACCACGGGUUUGCUUGCUACCCCUUGUACCACCACUUUGACUGGCUCUGGUUUUGCUGCAACAGUGCUUGAUGAUCCUUUCUGGGCUACCACAACUGGCUUAUUGUCUACCCCUUCGACUGAACUACUAAUUUCCUACUGUUGUAUGAAUGAGUUGCCAGAAUGCCAACCAACUAACCACCUGCCUGUACUCAAUAUAUCAACAACAACUUGGUUAGUAGUUAGGGUUUUAACAGAUUUGAUAACCGCACGUUUGGGGAAUGAAUGCACCUAAGCAGUGAAUGGUUUCU
This 303-nucleotide long non-coding RNA is filed under the name Nicotiana benthamiana. RNAcentral's name for it is "long non-coding RNA (NBEN_LNC041093)". The record is from RNAcentral. Lineage: Eukaryota; Viridiplantae; Streptophyta; Magnoliopsida; Solanales; Solanaceae.